AUGGAGCACGAGGGAGGUUCUCUCACUAAUUUGUUUCUCUCUGUGCUGCAGCACGAGGGAGGUUGGAUGAACUGCACGAAAAAAAGCUCAGUUCUACAGACAGCCCCCGCCGCCCACACGGACUACUUCCUCCGGUCCUCAUCCAGGUAUGGGGCUCACAUCAGUCCAACUAUUCCCCCCUUAUCCGUCCGAGCUCCUCCUGCCAUGCUCCUUCACGUACGAGCUUUGCCGGCACUGGUGCACGCCACCACACGUUCAAAGAGUGUCUUGGAAAAUGUUCAGAAGUUUGGUUCCAUAAAAAAAUGCACUUGUUCAUCUCGAAAGAUCAUGAAAGUUGAGAAGUCAAGGUGCCUAGCACCUGUUUGA
This 366-nucleotide ribosomal RNA is filed under the name Triticum aestivum (bread wheat). Its description in RNAcentral is "partial small subunit ribosomal RNA". The record is from RNAcentral. Lineage: Eukaryota; Viridiplantae; Streptophyta; Magnoliopsida; Poales; Poaceae.